GCCUGGGUGGCUCAGUCGGUUAAGCGUCUGACUUCGGCUCAGGUCAUGAUCUCACAGUCUGUGAGUUCGAGCCCCACGUCGGGCU
This 85-nucleotide transfer RNA is filed under the name Felis catus (domestic cat). It matches the Rfam family "tRNA". From Rfam's summary of the family: Transfer RNA (tRNA) molecules are approximately 80 nucleotides in length. Their secondary structure includes four short double-helical elements and three loops (D, anti-codon, and T loops). Further hydrogen bonds mediate the characteristic L-shaped molecular structure. tRNAs have two regions of fundamental functional importance: the anti-codon, which is responsible for specific mRNA codon recognition, and the 3' end, to which the tRNAs corresponding amino acid is attached (by aminoacyl-tRNA synthetases). tRNAs cope with the degeneracy of the genetic code in two manners: having more than one tRNA (with a specific anti-codon) for a particular amino acid; and 'wobble' base-pairing, i.e. permitting non-standard base-pairing at the 3rd anti-codon position. Lineage: Eukaryota; Metazoa; Chordata; Mammalia; Carnivora; Felidae. The record is from Rfam by way of RNAcentral.